Molecule: unclassified non-coding RNA, 395 nt
Filed under: soil metagenome
Description: partial contains 5.8S ribosomal RNA, internal transcribed spacer 2, and large subunit ribosomal RNA
Rfam family: 5.8S ribosomal RNA (bases 1-120)
Source: RNAcentral
GAUGAAGAACGUAGCGAAAUGCGAUAAGUAAUGUGAAUUGCAGUAUUCAGUGAAUCAUCGAAUCUUUGAACGCACCUUGCGCCUUUUGGUAUUCCGAAAGGCACACCUGUUUGAGCGUCAUGAAUACCUCAAUCUCCAUCUUUUCUUCGGAUUGAUGGGUGACUUGGAUGUUGAGCCCUGCUGGUAUGCUAUAUCAGCUGGCUUUAAACUUAUUAGCCGGCUCUGUACUGGAUCGGUUUGACUCGACGUGAUAAUAUUAUCGUUGAGGAUGCAUGUCUCAUGCAGCCGGAAAGUAUCAAAGCAGCUUCUAGCUUGCCUUUAGUGCACUUUUACAUUUUAGACCUCAGAUCAGGUGGGACUACCCGCUGAACUUAAGCAUAUCAAUAAGCGGAGGA